RNAcentral lists this ribosomal RNA (247 nucleotides) under uncultured bacterium. RNAcentral's name for it is "partial 16S ribosomal RNA". It matches the Rfam family "Bacterial small subunit ribosomal RNA", at positions 335 to 599 of the family's 1533-position model. The record is from RNAcentral.
ACACCUACGGGAGGCAGCAGUAGGGAAUAUUGCUCAAUGGGGGAAACCCUGAAGCAGCAACGCCGCGUGGAGGAUGAAGGUUUUAGGAUUGUAAACGCCUUUUGUUAGAGAAGAUUAUGACGGUAUCUAACGAAUAAGCACCGGCUAACUCCGUGCAAGCAGCCGCGGUAAUACGGAGGGUGCAAGAGUUACUCGGAAUCACUGGGCGUAAAGAGUGCGAAGGCGGGGGAAUAAGGCAGAUGGGAAA